This 496-nucleotide ribosomal RNA is filed under the name uncultured bacterium. RNAcentral's name for it is "partial 16S ribosomal RNA". It matches the Rfam family "Bacterial small subunit ribosomal RNA", at positions 28 to 507 of the family's 1533-position model. The record is from RNAcentral.
GAUGAACGCUGGCGGCGUGCCUAAUACAUGCAAGUCGAGCGAACGGACGAGAAGCUUGCUUCUCUGAUGUUAGCGGCGGACGGGUGAGUAACACGUGGAUACCUACCUAUAAGACUGGGAUAACUUCGGGAAACCGGAGCUAAUACCGGAUAAUAUUUUGAACCGCAUGGUUCAAAAGUGAAAGACGGUCUUGCUGUCACUUAUAGAUGGAUCCGCGCUGCAUUAGCUAGUUGGUAAGGUAACGGCUUACCAAGGCAACGAUGCAUAGCCGACCUGAGAGGGUGAUCGGCCACACUGGAACUGAGACACGGUCCAGACUCCUACGGGAGGCAGCAGUAGGGAAUCUUCCGCAAAGGGCGAAAGCCUGACGGAGCAACGCCGCGUGAGUGAUGAAGGUCUUCGGAUCGUAAAACUCUGUUAUUAGGGAAGAACAUAUGUGUAAGUAACUGUGCACAUCUUGACGGUACCUAAUCAGAAAGCCACGGCUAACUACGUG